ACGAACGCUGGCGGCGUGCUUCACACAUGCAAGUCGAACGAUGAAGAAGAGAAACGCGAACUUCGGUUCAAAUUUCACUUCGGAUUAGUGGCAGACGGGUGAGUAACGCGUGAGCAACCUACCUCUUACAAAGGGAUAGCCUCGGGAAACCGUGAUUAAUACCAUAUGACACAUUCAUAAGGCAUCUUAAGAAUGUUAAAGCUACGGCGGUAAGAGAUGGGCUCGCGUCCCAUUAGCUAGUUGGUGAGGUAACGGCCCACCAAGGCGACGAUGGGUAACCGGCCUGAGAGGGUGAACGGUCACAUUGGAACUGAGACACGGUCCAAACUCCUACGGGAGGCAGCAGUGGGGAAUAUUGCACAAUGGAGGGAACUCUGAUGCAGCGACGCCGCGUGAGCGAUGAAGGAAUUCGUUUCGUAAAGCUCUGUUCUAUGGGAAGAAAAGGACUGUACCAUAGGAGAAAGCCCCGGCUAAAUACGUG
RNAcentral lists this ribosomal RNA (481 nucleotides) under uncultured bacterium. RNAcentral's name for it is "partial 16S ribosomal RNA". It matches the Rfam family "Bacterial small subunit ribosomal RNA", at positions 29 to 507 of the family's 1533-position model. The record is from RNAcentral.